Molecule: long non-coding RNA, 3786 nt
Organism: Strigops habroptila (Kakapo)
Lineage: Eukaryota; Metazoa; Chordata; Aves; Psittaciformes; Psittacidae
Exons: 2
Source: RefSeq, a predicted model, not a curated record
GGGGGAGGGGAGGAACCUCCUAAAUAAAAUAAAUUGGUACUGAUAGAAAGUCAGGCGAUUGUCACUAUUGGGAAGAACCUGAACUUGACAUCUGAAGGCCUGGUAACCCUGAAAAAUGGAGAAUGGGAAAAGAUGCUGAAAUGAAUAUACAGAGUGGGCACAGGGACUAACAAGAAGGAUUUCUGCUGGGAAAUCAGUAGAGUUGUACAACGGUGUGUUAUGCUGCUACUAAAGCACCGGUAAUCCUGGGUUCCCAUUUGGUACAGAAAAUUCAGAAGGGGCGGUGGCAGGAAUUGUUUGCCUUCAGGGGUGGUGGUUCUCGCAUGGAAUACUGGGGUGAGGAUCUGAAUGUCCCUGUGCAGAAGGUAGGGAUUUGGGCUGGUGUAGGGACUGUGCUGCCUUAGUGGUGGAAAUGUAGAUACUGCUGUGUAUGUGUAUUGGUGUGACUGGGAAAUCUUUCAGGAAUGUGAAGAAAUAUUAAAUCUUAAGAGCAGAUCAGGCACAGGAACAAGCAAUAUGAACAAGCCAUUAAUAAAUCUACGGAAAGGAAAACUAUUGAGCUACUUCAAACCCAGUUACUUCUCCACUGAGAGUUUUGAGAGUAGCGAGGCAAGCCAAGGUUCAGUUAUGAUGGGGUAAGAGCUUGCAAUAGCUGUCAUUGGACUCGAUGACUGGGAAAGUCCUUUCGGUUCUGUUACUGUGUGUUUUGCUCUGACAGCCAGAUACCUAUCAGCUGAUGAAGACUCUUGAUCAUCACUUCCAAUGUUAUUUAUACCCUGCAUAAUAAUAAUGACCUUUUUUAUUAUUAUUAUUUCCUUAUAUGGUGAAUGAUGUUGAAGUGAUAACUCCUUGUUUACAACACUGAUAAUAGCUGGUGUUUUUUCAGUUUCACUCUCUAGGAAAAUCUGCAUCUUGGCUCUACAAGUGUAUUAGCGCACUCUUAGAAGACUUCUAGGGCUAAGCAAUGGCUGUUCACUUUAGAGAAUGUUUUAAGCAAAUUUCCCAGCUUUCCAGUGAUAAUUUAUCAAAUCAAAGGACUGGACAAAAAAGGGAUAACUUUAUCCCUUUCAUGGAUACUUUCCAAAUUAAACGUUUUUACGUGUAAUGAUUUUAAACUUUCCAAAGAACCUAGAUGUUAGUUUGCUUGCAAAUUUAGCAGUAGCUUACAGAAUGUAUUUAUUCAUAUGCUACCACAUGUAGAUGUUAAAACUGAUCACAUACUUGUAUAACUCUAAUAUUAAUAUUGAUUAUUAUCAAGUUAUGCCAGAAAGAGAACAGUGUUCAUGAUCAUGAGGGCUCCCAUGGGUGUCCUUGGGCUGGUGCUGCGAAUGGAUGAAAUGUGGGGAUGGAGUGGAUCUCUGGCAAGUACUGCUACUUUUUCAAACUUUUAACCUUGCAGUAAAACCAAAAUUAUACUCUUUACUGCAAAAGUAGUGUUAUUUUCUUGAGAUGGUAAAAGUGUAUUUCAGGGGAAAAUAUUCCCUCCCUACCCCAAAUAUUUUUGGUUCAAAAUUUGUGGCUGUAUCAGAAUAAUUGGGCAUUUGGUAAGUGACUUUAGCCAUUAAUUUUAGCAGUCCCUGUUUAUUUGGACAGGAAAGAGAUUCCUGAAGCAAUUUUUUUUCUUCCCUUAGGAUGAAAAAGGGUAUGCACAGAGGUUCUUAGAAUAUCACAUCAAAUAUAGAAUGGAUUUCUGAAUUAAAGCAGCUCCUCAUUUUUAGCUAAUCCUUGACCUCAGCUGACAAGAGAUGAGGCUGAAUCUGUUCCUUGCUCUCCAGCGCCCGUCUCUCCCUUGCGGGCUCACUAUUAGUAACUGUACAGCAAGUAUGACUAAAAUCCCCAUCCCUGGAGCAUUCCCUGGCACUUCUGGCACAGCUUCUCCUUCGACAUCCGAGGUGUGAGUUUGCUUCUGUUACCACAAACUGGGUAGCCCUGUAGGAAGAGAGAAAGGCAUGGAGGAGGGGAGAGCGAAACGAGAAGAGUUAAAAAACAGUGAAGGUGGGGCUUGAGAGAAAAGUACUUCAUGGGGAGUGAAAUGACAGAGCUGGAUUCUUGAUCUCACCCAGGUUUCUUGUUCACUCAUCAUCUUGCAGCUCCCACCAUAGGCUUUCCUUUCCGUCCUUUCCAUGAAUGUGGUGGUGUACUGGCUUUCACCUGCAAAGUGAAACGUCUGGCACCCCUGGUGCCACCAUCUGCUGUAGCUGCCUUCUCUCUGUGAGCCAGCAGAACCCAUCACUUGAGCGGGUGUAUUCAACUGUGUAGUUUUAGCACAUUGCCUAAGAAGGCUUUUCUUUACAAAAAUUGUUUCAGAACUUCUUCCUCUGUAGCAGAGGAGUCGGGAGGUUCUGCACAAAAUGGUGGCACGGUUUGCACAGGCACUUCUCGUUACUGCUUUAAUACGUAGUGUUGUGGAAAAUUGAAUCAUUGGUAUUUCUUCUUUAUUCAGGGAAUAAGUGAUGGAGUCACUUGAGGACCUUUGUGUCAUGAAAAUUACUCUUUCACAGUUCUGAAGCUUUACUUUGUACUGGUGUGAAUGUUUCAUAGGGAACAGCAGAAUACAUUUUCAACAUGUGUAAUAAAUACCAAACCCAGUUUUGGUCACAAGCCUUUUCUGUUUCAUUUUCCAGUCAGAAUAAGAUUCCAUUAUAUUGGGUUUAGUUGUAGAAAAAUAUGUCGGUAUUCAAAAUCAGGCUGUAUAGGCAGUAGAAAGAGGAUAUCGUUUUUAAUCAUCAGCAUUUCUGCACUUUACAUCUUGGCACCUUUCAAUAGGAAGACACACAAGGACUUCUACCUUUCUGCUGAGGCGUGGUUCUGCUGAACCACCUGAGAAGUUUCUCUGCCAAUGUGGGGCAUCUGCUCCCUUACAGAAACCAUCCAGUUUUGGUUUAUUGUAUAUAAAUUUAUACUUGGCAGCUGUUGAGGAGCUCACUGGAACAAUGGCCAUAGUGGCAAUUAAGAAAAAAAAAAAAAGGAAAAAAAACCCCAACGAAAAACCACCCAGCUUAAUUUAUUCCCCAAAUGUCCUUCACCAAGAAAUCAUAAUGUCAGUUUUUAGUGAAAUUAGUUCAUGCCCUACUUCUGGUUGUGCAUUCAAUUAUUCCAAUGGUAAGAAGACACAACCCUAAUGGGUCAGCUUACAAUUUCCUUGAAAUAUAUUGUAUGGUUUUAAUUAAUAUGCCAAUAAGAGGAACUAUGUGGUCUUUAUUUUAUCUCUUACUGAAACUUGAAUGCAUUCAAGGCUUCUGCUGCAAUUGGCUUCCUCGGGGAGGUGCAGGAGGAGUUGUAUCCCCUCUGGCCUUCAUAAAUCACAUUGGGUUUGGUGUCUUUUUGGGGUAUGGGGUGAAAUAUUUCAGUUCUGUGAAGCCUAUCUACUUGCACUUUUCCCUCCCUCCUCCCCCAAACUAGAUGCCACAGUUUCCAUAAUGCAGCCCUUCUUUUUUUUUACUGCUUGCUUUGAACAACGAAGUGGGUGAUCUGUAGCUACUGGGCAUAAUGAUUAAUUCUUUAGCUAUCAUCUCAGGGGGCUCUGAAAUUUAGGUCUUUCAAGUUUAUGAGCCCCAUCUCUAACAGAGACUUGGUCUGGGGUAACCAUGCAAGCUUCCAGAAAGAUAACACGAGGUGUAAAUUAAAUUCUCUUAAGAACUGGCACUCAAGUAAAUGGAAGUAUCCACAAAGGCUGAUGCCUACUUUUGUUCACAUUUGUUUUGCUGCCUCUGUGUAAUUUGCUUUCUGUAUACUUGCUAAAAGCAAACCCAAUUGAGAUUGUGUGAUGGCAUAUGGAAGAGGCCU